CGCACAUUGCGCCCUUUGGCAUUCCGAAGGGCAUGCCCGUUCGAGCGUCAAUAAGACCCAUCAAGCCUGGCUUGGUAUUGGGCGUCGGGCUAAUAACCCGCGCCUCUAUUCUCCCGGCUGGACGGUUAGAAUCUCAGCGUUGUGCAAUCAAUUCGCUAGGGAGGAUCGCCGGACGUGCCGUCAAAACUCUUUAAAGUCUGACCUCGGAUCGGGUAGGGAUACCCGCUGAACUUAA
RNAcentral lists this unclassified non-coding RNA (235 nucleotides) under Rhinocladiella sp. Its description in RNAcentral is "partial contains 5.8S ribosomal RNA, internal transcribed spacer 2, and large subunit ribosomal RNA". Lineage: Eukaryota; Fungi; Ascomycota; Eurotiomycetes; Chaetothyriales; Herpotrichiellaceae. The record is from RNAcentral.